This 25-nucleotide non-coding RNA is filed under the name Cricetulus griseus (Chinese hamster). The record is from RNAcentral. Lineage: Eukaryota; Metazoa; Chordata; Mammalia; Rodentia; Cricetidae.
UAACCACAUUAUUUUUCUCCUUAGA